UCCCUGACAAGAGAGAGGACUCCCAUGAUUCGUCAUUGUAAAUGUCAGAAAUUGGAGACCAAAUCACGUUUUGGCAUUGAAAAGGAGCUCUCGUUUAUUUAUCAGCUUUGCUAGUAGUAAAAGUUGUAAGAAUUAAAUUAAAUAGCCAUUUUGAAGAAUUGUUUGCCACUUUUCAAAUUGAGAUUCCUAUAUAGCUCUGAGGAUAAGACUUUGGGAGUGAGGAUUAGAAAGUGAUCCAUUCGUUUUGGUAUCUUCUCUAACGUAUAACGGAAGCUCAAUUAAACAAAAGAGACCAACUUACAGAGAAAACAAAAUUGGAUGAUAAAAUGGCAAAAAGAAAAGAGAAGCACUGUUGCCAAGGAUCAAACCCGAGUUACCCGCGUGACAGUCAGGAAAACUCACCACUAUACUACAACAGCUUGUUAUUUAACUAUACGCAACGAAAAUAUAUAAUUAUAGUACCAAAGAUGUGUUUUCUAUGUGGAAGCUGAACCGCAUCAAAUUCUAAUGCUUGAAGUUGGAUUGAGGUGACCUACUACAUUUCCAAAGAGAUACAGUUUAAAAAAUAUCAUAAAUCAAAAGUAUUGGAGAAGCUUAUUUAA
This is a long non-coding RNA of Capsicum annuum, 602 nucleotides long. RefSeq lists it as uncharacterized. Lineage: Eukaryota; Viridiplantae; Streptophyta; Magnoliopsida; Solanales; Solanaceae. The record is from RefSeq and is a predicted model, not a curated record. The transcript has 2 exons.